Molecule: non-coding RNA, 390 nt
Organism: Micropterus salmoides (largemouth bass)
Lineage: Eukaryota; Metazoa; Chordata; Actinopteri; Centrarchiformes; Centrarchidae
Source: the annotation of a RefSeq genome assembly
GCAGACAUGAACCACUGGCUGAGAAACAUCCUGAUUCUGACUCUCUGGCUAGAGUGUAAAGGAGAAGACAGAGUGACCCAGCCAGCAGGAGAUGUCAUUGCUGCUGAAGGAGACACAGUUACACUUGACUGUACUUUUGAGACGAGUUAUCCAGGUCCAACUUUGUUCUGGUACAAACAGGAUGGAAACAACAGCCCCAGAUUCAUGCUGAGUCGCAUGCAACAGAACGAUGUGAAAACAGAGGAUAAGUUUAAGGAGAGGUUUUCAUCAACAGUUGAUUCCACCUCAAAAUCAGUUCCUCUGAAGAUCCAGAAGCUUCAGCUGUCUGACUCUGCUGUGUACUACUGUGCUCUGCAGCCCACAGUGACAGGAAACACCAAAACUCUGUAC